UACGAAGGGUGCAAGCGUUGCUCGGAAUUAUUGGGCGUAAAGGGUAGGUAGGUGGUAAUACAAGUCUGGGGUGAAAUCCCUGAGCUCAACUCAGGACGUGCCUUGGAAACUGUAUUACUAGAGUGCUGGAGAGGUCCGCAGAAUUCCCGGUGUAGCGGUGAAAUGCGUAGAGAUCGGGAGGAAUACCAGAGGCGAAGGCGGCGGACUGGACAGUCACUAACACUCAACUACGAAAGCGUGGGUAGCAAACAGG
Molecule: ribosomal RNA, 253 nt
Filed under: uncultured bacterium
Lineage: Bacteria
Description: partial 16S ribosomal RNA
Rfam family: Bacterial small subunit ribosomal RNA
Source: RNAcentral